RNAcentral lists this transfer RNA (69 nucleotides) under Sphaerodactylus townsendi. RNAcentral's name for it is "tRNA-Ala". The record is from RNAcentral. Lineage: Eukaryota; Metazoa; Chordata; Lepidosauria; Squamata; Sphaerodactylidae.
GUCAUGGCUCAGUGGUAGAAUAUCUGCCUGGCAUGCAGAAAGUCCCAGGUUCAGUCUCAUGUAGCUCCA